CCUUAUGGCGAUUUUGCGGGCAGUCUUCGGACUGGCCGGUUUUCCUUUUGCCCGGUAGCUCUAACCCGCAUCAUCGCCGCCACC
Molecule: non-coding RNA, 84 nt
Filed under: Candidatus Kentrum sp. FW
Lineage: Bacteria; Pseudomonadati; Pseudomonadota; Gammaproteobacteria
Source: RNAcentral